Molecule: ribosomal RNA, 682 nt
Filed under: uncultured bacterium
Lineage: Bacteria
Description: bacterial SSU rRNA
Rfam family: Bacterial small subunit ribosomal RNA
Source: RNAcentral
UAGCAAGCUGGCGGCGUGCUUAACACAUGCAAGUCGAGUGCGCGUUUCCGUAGCAAUACGGGAAUGGCGCACGGCGCACGGGUGCGUAACACGUGGGUAAUCUGCCCUCUGAUGGGGAAUAACCCGCCGAAAGGCGGGCUAAUACCGCAUAACAUUCCUUGGACUCCGGUUCGAGGAUUCAAAGGCGCAAGUCGUCGGAGGUGGAGCCCGCGCACGAUUAGCUAGUUGGUAGGGUAAUGGCCUACCAAGGCUAUGAUCGUUAGCUGGUCUGAGAGGAUGGCCAGCCACACUGGAACUGAGACACGGUCCAGACUCCUACGGGAGGCAGCAGUGGGGAAUCUUGCACAAUGGGCGAAAGCCUGAUGCAGCGACGCCGCGUGGGGGAUGAAGCUUCUCGGAGUGUAAACCCCUUUCGACCGGGACGAAUGCCCGCAAGGGACUGACGGUACCGGUAUAAGAAGCCCCGGCUAACUACGUGCCAGCAGCCGCGGUAAGACGUAGGUGGCCAGCGUUGCUCGGAAUUACUGGGUGUAAAGGGUUCGUAGGCGGUGUGGCAAGUCGGGAGUGAAAUCUCUGGGCUUAACUCAGGGGCUGCUUCCGAAACUGCCGUGCUAAAGUGUGGGAAAGGCGCGUGGAAUUGCAGGUGUUACCGGUGAAAUGCGUUAAAUAUCUUGCAGGAACA